Anopheles merus is the source of this 1833-nucleotide long non-coding RNA. RefSeq lists it as uncharacterized. NCBI's taxonomy places the organism in Eukaryota, Metazoa, Arthropoda, Insecta, Diptera, Culicidae. The transcript has 6 exons. The record is from RefSeq and is a predicted model, not a curated record.
AGUGUGUCUUUCUUACCAUCAUUUUGUCUGUUGGGACCGAGUUUGAUACGAGCGUCACAACCCGCCCCCUGUUCGCACUUGAGGUGGAUCAGCUUAGAAUUUGGACGAAUGGAUUAUCAAGCCCUCCCGCCCCCCGGGCAAGCGCUUCAGCCAAAAAGGCGUUUGUUGUCUUGCACGCCCCUGAUUUUCGUUCACUUACCGCGUGAUUUAUUGCCCAUAAUUGCGAACGAACUUUGUGCUGUAGACUACACCAGAACCAGAGUGUAGGAUUUUUCAUGUUAAAUAAACCAACACAACAGAAAGGUCAGCUUGGAGAGUGCCAUUAUCCUGAUGAUCCAGUAGGAAAAUUCACCACUAAAAAGCGUAAGGCGCGUUUCUAAUGGGAAAAGGCCUGGCCAACCUUAACGAAAUCACGCUGGCAGCUUUCACGCUGGCAGCCAACAGCCGGCAAGAUGGUGUGUGCCAUCAGCCAGUACCAUCAUUAUCACCGCGCCCCUCAAGUUGCGGUCGGCUUUUAACGUUAGCAAAUACCCACCCAAGUGGGUGAGAAAAUCGGCUCAUCUUCGUAGAUCCGUGAGAUAAUUAACGGUCGCUGGCCAUGUAAAUGGUGCGGACAGAUUACCCUCUCAAGCUUUCCUAGGUCUACAGGACUGACCUUGGCCGGCUCGUGAUGGAUUCAAUUUGGCCGAUCGUGCCGGAUCUGCUUGAUCAUCGCAAGGAAAAAUCAAACGCCCAGAACGGAUACGGAACAUUAAUCAUGAGGGUGUCAUCUGUUUAGAACAGAUUUUUUUCUCUCCUUUGGACAUUUUCAGCACAGACCACAAAAGGGAUUUUAUGAACUUCUCUGUAAAGUGGACGUUUGUUGUCUGUCGGAAGCGCGAUGUUGGCAUGGAUCAAAAUUAGUGAUUUUUUGGGAACAACAAACAAGACGUUAUACAUAUUCAUGCACAAAGCAACGAUUCCGCUCGAGGAAGUUGCCGCUUUGUGUCUCCCAAAUCAAAUGCUCAUCGCGUUGCAUCUUGAAGACUUCCUGCUGGUUAAACGUUAAAGCUGACAUGUCUCGUUAAAGUUAAUCUCCGCCGCGUUUGGGCUGAUUUGUACUGAUCUCCUACCUUUUACAAGCCGGCAAUUUGGUGCAACAAACCCUCCACACACACACACACACACACACACAUACCAUUGUUUACAAAGUGUGACAGAUUUGCGGUUGAAGAUGCAAGCGACGAACCUUACAUUUUGGGGUGGAAAUCCCGGUUUCGUACGCUAAGUUAAAUUACAAAUUAAACCCGUCCGCCGGCUCGGUUGCACAGUAAGGUGGCAAACCCACCACUUCCUUCCUCACGCUCUAGUCGAACUAAAAUGCACCCCGAGCGGUUGUGUCAUCUGGCCAGAGUGUUGACUCGCCGCAAAGACAGACACACGCCAGCUUCAAUAAAUCAGCGCAAAUGUUUGCCAAAUAUAUGUCUGACGGUCGCGGUUUUGGCAGCCUGCCUGCCUGCCUGCCUGCCUGCCCGGUGGUGGAGUCCGUUUCGUUAGAAGGUGAGAAAAUGCCAGCUGUGCAGCGAACAAGUUGGUCCAUUUCAACGCAGCCCGCAGCAGAUAAAAUCAAGCUUCUCAGCUUAGUUCAAACAAUUCGGCAGAUGUUGAAAACGGAGAUGGUUCGCGCGAGAGAGAGGCAUAAUGAUUAGAAGGUGAUGAUGGUGGUGGUGGCGUCGUUCGUACCGCUGCCAGUUGCGAUAACGAUCGGAUAAUGGAAGGAGGCGGAGAAGCGUAAGUAUAAAUGUCGAUUGGGGGACGAUUUAUAACAAUAUUUGAAGGUGUUUAUUAAUUAUU